UACGUAGGGUGCAAGCGUUAAUCGGAAUCACUGGGCGUAAAGGGCGCGUAGGCGGCAAAUUAAGUCAGCUGUGAAAUCUCCGAGCUUAACUCGGAACGGUCAGCUGAUACUGAUCUGCUAGAGUGCGGAAGGGGCAAUCGGAAUUCUUGGUGUAGCGGUGAAAUGCGUAGAUAUCAAGAGGAACACCUGAGGUGAAGACGGGUUGCUGGGCCGACACUGACGCUGAGUGCGCGAAAGCCAGGGGAGCAAACGGG
Molecule: ribosomal RNA, 254 nt
Filed under: uncultured bacterium
Lineage: Bacteria
Description: partial 16S ribosomal RNA
Rfam family: Bacterial small subunit ribosomal RNA
Source: RNAcentral